AGCAGGUGCUUUUACGGGGGACCACUGAGCAUCCCAGACACCAUGGCUGUUCCCCACCCGCCUCACAUCAUCCCUGGAAAUGCCAGCUCAGCCACGGCAGCAUGUGGCACCGCCCAGAGCAGGGGGCCCGCAGCCGAUGACAGACUAGCCGCCAGGUGGACAGGAAGAAGGAAGAACACCGCACCGUUCAACAGGCGCGAGCGAGCAGCCAGGCCACGAGGAGGGGCGAGUCAAUGACACACAAGCGUGUACAUCCGGACAAAUUCCCCCUGCAGUUCCGCACCCAGGCCUCACUGGGCCUGCCCCUGCUUUUCGGCAGUGACACGGCGCGGACUCCAACUGCGGGCGAUUCAAACUGCGGGCAAGGCGCUGUGAGAAUCCAUCCCGGGUCCACGUGUGCUUGCAAAUGCAUCCCGACACAGGUUACCUUACAAAGGCGUGUGAGGCUGAAAAUGGAAGACAGGCAUCCAGGCAGCAAUCAUACAGCCACCACAGAAGGAACCAGACGAGAGUUCCUUAUAAAUGUGAUUUAAAGAUU
Molecule: long non-coding RNA, 538 nt
Organism: Eptesicus fuscus (big brown bat)
Lineage: Eukaryota; Metazoa; Chordata; Mammalia; Chiroptera; Vespertilionidae
Exons: 2
Source: RefSeq, a predicted model, not a curated record